Molecule: non-coding RNA, 9025 nt
Organism: Phalacrocorax carbo (great cormorant)
Lineage: Eukaryota; Metazoa; Chordata; Aves; Suliformes; Phalacrocoracidae
Source: RefSeq, a predicted model, not a curated record
CUUCCUUCAGACAAGCGGAAGCCAUUGCUGUGCAGAUGGAUGCCAUUCGACACUCCAUUGGUAGAGGUUUUUCCAUUCUGCACUUCUGAAGAUAUGUAUGCACAGGAUGACAGCAGUACCAGUGGCAUAUUCCAUUCCAGCACUGGGUUCAGAAAGAAUAAUGCUGAGAAACAGGAGCCCUGUCGUAUUCAAGAGAGAGUGAAAUGUGAAUUGGAAAACCAGAACAGAAUGUGGUUCAAGUUUGAUCCGUCGUAGCAUAACAAACAAAUCCCUAAUACCAAGCAUUUAGUCCGAAAGAAUCAGAAAGAAGCUUAAAAAAUCAAUCAGAUUACCCACAGAGAAGUUGCUAUACCCAUUUUCAAGAAUGCACAACAACAUAUGGUGACCCAAGCACGACUGAUUGCGCAGCUUUCUGCCAAACUUUAGCCGUCUUCUUACCUGUUCCCCUCCCAUGUUGACUAAGAGCUCAGUGCCAUCAGGACUGAAGGUGACAUACGUGGCCACCAGAACUCUCAGACGGUUGUUGUAGUCCGGAAGCUUCACUGGAAGGUGCCCUGUGGAGAGAAGAGGUCCAAACGUAUUAGCGUAACUAGUAACCAUUGUCUUUGUCCUACCCCAGCUGCUCCCUUUUACAAGAGGCUGUUAGGAGAGCAAUGCCAUGAAGCGCAUGCACCUAAGUGAUUUUCCGUUUCCUGCUGCUGUUUAUUGAAUCCUUCCAUCAGCCACCAAAACACGCAGAUGUGCAUAGCUGCCUUUUCACAGGUUUUAGGUAUCAAUUCUAGAAGGCCAUUUCUGAAGAGAAGACUGGAUUAUAACUAGCUUGCUUAACAACAAAGUCUGCAGAACCCAGCAGUUCUCUGUUUUAGUGAUUCACUACGGGUUUGGCUUCUGUGAUUUGCAGCCAUCUGCAAACAAAUACCUCCAUCUUCAAUCCUCUAAUCAGGUUUCCUUAUUAAAGCUCUUAGCACAACCAAACCAAGGCUCCUAAAUAUUCAGCUCACACACAGGUUCCUUUGCUUCAGACAGCAGAUGUGUUGCAUGACCAAUUCAGGGGACCUAAGAAAUCCUCUAGCGGGACUCAUCAGAAGCAAGACUGUCAGAACUGGUCUGCUGAACAUGCUGGUCUAAGAUACUUUAAAAAAUCCAAACAUUUGGGGAGGGGGGGGAAGAUCGUAAAUAAUGAGCACUGGAGAAGAAUGUCAUCUAGAUUGCCCAGAUACUGCAUCACUGAUUCUUGAUCUGCAGGAUGAAGACAAGCCAAUGCUCCUCUGUGCCAAAAAGAUUUUGAACAGCAGCCUUGCUGGGACUGGUUCCAGGAGAAAGCCUAUAGCACCCCUGUUAUUCAAUCCUUGACUUUCCAACAAAAGUGACAAAAAGACAUUUACGCUAGACAAGAAGUAAGGCCAGCUCACCCAUACGCACCACUGCCAAAUCAGGGAAAGUGGGCAGGUAACAUAAGCAAGAAUUCACAGCACAGAAGUGAAAUAAUCUGCAAUUCCAUGGAACAUCCCUGUAUUAGAGAAGAGCUCUUCCAAGCAGUCAUUUCUUGUGUGAUGGGUAGAACUCUGCUUCGUCAGGCAUUAACUUUAAGUCCCAUCAGUCACCCCCAGCACAGGUCCCAAUACCUGCCACGUAGUACUGCGCCGCGCCGUCCGGGAGGGGUUUCUGUCGGUCGCAGAACGUGUGUACUCCAGCUGAAGGACUCUGCUUCAUGCUUUUUCUAGCCAGAAAGAAGAGUAGUCUUAUAAUCACAGCAUUCAACUGCUGGAAGCCUGAUCUAUGCUGACAAAUCUUGUUCGCACACGACGGCAAGGCCUCGUGCCUGUACAGCUGGGCAGUCACAAGCCUGCCUCACAGUCCCCGCUGUACUCACACAGAUCAAAAAGACUCUGAGGGUCAUAGAAAAGACUGGGUAAAACCGCACGGUGAGACAGGCAACCUCCAGAUCAUUGAAACUCCCCCUUCCCACCAGAGCCUCGAACAGAUUUCUGUGCCACUCACAUCUGCCCAGAAAAGCCACACUGCCAUUACCUGUGGUUGUGGAUCAUGCGUAUGUCGUAGAGCCGCACAAAGGGUCCACUUGCCCCUACUGCUAAGUAGUUGUUAUCUUGGGGGUUGACCGUCAGGCAUUUGGCCUCCACCAGCUGCCCGCAGUACUCCGUCAGGUCUAUCAGGACUUCGGAACGUUUGCUGUUCUCUCGCAGGUCGUACUGUCUGCAAAGGGAAGAGAAAGUCAGGCAAUCCGCGUCACUAGACAACAGAAGCAGCAAUAAGAGAGGCUAGCUCUCCACGGUGACCAAACUGAAGACCACUUAACGCAGCACAUUUACACCGCUCAGCAGCGACCUACACUUAAUUAUGUGGCUUAUGCACAAAGAGACGAUACUAACGACAAUAACUUUCAUUUGUGCCACAGAUCACUGGAAGCAUCUCAGCUCAGUGUACACUAGGCCUCAAUAUCAUGCUAACCAUUAAAACCAGCUCCCUAAUGUGCCCAGAUUUAUUCAAGUUCCAAACUCAACUCCAAGUCACAACCUCACAAGCAGUAGCUCGUAUGAAAAGAGGAACAGACUCUCGUAGUAACAUUAGUCAUUUAAGAGUCUCAAUGACUCUGGAGGGAAACAUUGCACAGUUGUAUCUCCCUUCCAUUUGACAUUGCUCUUCCUUUCUCAGCCUCCCUUUUCAGUGGAGGAAAACAGAGGAGCUGAGGGGAGUAUUUAUGAGAGGACUCUACAUUUCAAGAUGAAACCUUCCAGUUUCAGGAAAGAGAGAUUAGCUCCAGCUCUUUAGUAUAGAGGCAGUCUCUGUUCAGAUCUGUGCAUACAUAGUACAUACUGCAAUGGACCCUAAUCCAAUAAAUUUUGGGGCAGAACAACUGGAGUUCUGUACCUGAUCAGUCCGUCUUCUGCUGCACUCCAGAAGGUGUUAGGCCACAUGGGAGCCGUGGCAAUCCGCUUAACUCGGUUGGUGUGAUCUCCAAACAUGUGGAUGGUCUCCUUGACAGUCAAGUCAUGGACGUGCACCUUGGAAUCUGCAGCUCCCGUGAUGAGGAUCCGAUCCCCCGAAUGUGGCAAGAACUGUGGGAGACAGAUUUGACAUUCAAGCUUGAGAAGUCCUGAGGCUGUUCACACAGACAUCGCUGAGCUGCCCUGGCAGGUCACAGAGCAGCUUGCUUUAGGAACACUUUUAUUUAGGAACAAUGUUAUUCAGGAUGACCCACGUUAUUACCUACAUUACACAUAUGCCAGUGUGCACACUCAAGAGUCACCAGCUACAGUAGCACACACACACACACAAAAAAAAGAUCUUCCUUGCCCAUCCCAAUUUGCUACAACCAUUUCCUUUCUUACAGAGAGAAUGAAAUAAGCCUGGGAGCUGCAUAAACUAUGAAGUGCCGGUAUUAGAUCUAAUGCAUUUUUUCCUAACAUUAGAUAAAUUAUUGAGGGAGCAAGGGGAAAAAUUGCUUGCAGGAAAAUGUUUCUCAGCAAGGAUCCAUCCUCUUGCUGCUUAGGUUGCUGAUUUUGUUAGCCAUUCAUUCCUUCUAACCAUAUACCUUGACAGAAAAGAUGUUUGCAGUAUGUCCCGUGUGCAUAGAAAGGAGUUUCUUGUGGUGCAGAGGAUCCCAGACAAUGGUAUGCUGGUCAUCAGAGCCAGAGGCCAACAAGCUAAAAGCAACAGAGAAGUAUGCAUCAUGUAUUCUUCUGUUCUAAGCUGUGACCAAUUUCUUAGAGUGGUUUGACCACAGACAGCCAUUAAGUUAAUUCAGCUCGAAUAAGCCCACUUCCUCUCUCUUUUCUCAGCUCUGUGUUCUUGUUGUUCCCCAUGUGCCAAUCCAUUCAGCCAGUUCAGGGAGCUAAACCAGCCACAUAGCAGCUCCACAGAAAAUAAAGCGAGUGGUUUUCAUUGGUUUAGCUCAUUGAACCAGCUCACCACAGAUUCAGAUGGCACAGGGGAAAACAAUAGGAGCAUUUGGUCAACAACAAAAUGCAGGGCCUCCAUUUUCCUUAUUAGCCUGGCUGCAUUAACUGUUCCACAUCAUCCCCAAACCCAAGCCAAAGCAUUCAUUCCUGGAGUUCGGAUGUGCCCAUGCAGUCCCAAGCCAGGGCUUAUUUAGUGAUUCACAGACUGCUUUUUAAGUGCAGGGUGUGGCAGCGGUAUUGCAAAGCGCUGUUUGCCCUGUACAUCUGUAUUCAUUUGAAGCAAAAGAACCUGACAUCUGCAACCAUCAGCUGUUUUAAACUUAUUUCCUUAUAGCCAGAUCUCUUUCGAAUACAAGAAACUUUCACUGGUAAAUAACUCUGAAGAGUAUCAGACAGCAGACUGGAUCUUGUAAGAGGCAUGUCAAGAAAUAUGUACUCUGCCUUCCAUCCAGUCAUUUCUCUUGCAGUAACUCUUUGUUCCCCUUGGUUAACGGAAAUGCUCCCACGUCUAGUUUCCCUCUAAAACUGCAGAGAAGGGUAUGUGCUCUGCCUCCCUCCUUUAUAUAUUUUGUCCCCAGCAGCUUUUAACAGCACAGUGAUGGGGGUGGGGAAACGUCACUACCAGCUGGACAAAUCCUAAAGAUCCAUUAUAAUCCAUAAUACCAUUUACGAGAAGAGAAGCAGCCUUCAAUCUCCACUUCUUAGUCUGACCAUUUCCCUUCUGAACUCACUAAAGGGGCAUUUAUAAGAAUAUCCAGAUAUAUUUAAUAAAAGAAAGCUUCUUUUGAAGCGUGAGCUCUACUACAGUUCAAAACUUUGAGCUUGAGCUCCACUUUACUAGGAGUGGGAAGCAGCUGCUUAUGAUAAGAUGACCUACAUCCUACUCUUGGGAAAACCUUGGGUUAUCAGUUUGCUGAUCCCCUGGAUCAAGCCACAUACUUACUCUCCUUUUUCAUUCCAUUCUAGACAGUUGACACAGCCAGAGUGACCCUGAGAGAAAAAAAAAAAAAGGGGGAAUGGUAUUAGACAAACUUCAGACUUAUCAAACAGAGCUGUUCUAAGACAAGGACACAGUGAGCUCCCAACACUUAACAACUUGUUCCAAUACAAGCAGGUUUUUUAAUUCCAACCCUGCAAAAAAAAAACCACCCACGUGGCAGAGAAGCACCUCCAGAAAAGACAGACAUGCUAUAGCAGUUGGGGUAGAAACAGCAAAAUGAAACAAAUAAUGAAAAUUUAAAAGUAGUGUUGAAUAAAAUGGCAUUUUAGUCUCAGAGGCUACAGAUGAAAUCCUGCUGUACACAGGGAAAGGUGACUUUGCUUCAAAAGCUCUUGGCUAGGCUGACAAAUUACAUGCAGAGGUUCUGUGGGAACACAGGGAAAACGCACUUUUGAUAACUCUCUUAGAAGCACCUUGCUGCUGGGUGACUGUAUCACACGUCUUCACCCAAAUUAACCAACAACUCUACCAGGAAAGACUAAGAGAACAUUGAGUAGAGUUUGAUAUGGGAGAUGCGACUGGAAAGGGGGAUGAAAGAAUCCUUUCCUCCCCCAAACCAAGACAACCUGAAGAUCUUUUUAAGCUGUGUCAGACUGCAAUACAACCAAUUUUUUAGGCAACACAUUACAUCCUUCAGCAUUAGAGCUGAAUAUCGUGAACAGUUGACAGUUGCCUUCUUCAGGCACCACUGCUAGGAUUAGCUGACCCACACCCAUUAAAGGCUGGCUUGUAGGUGCAUUAGGUAAUGCAGAAAGCUCACAAAAGAUCUCACUGAGCUAUUCCUGGCUCUAAUGCAGUUUAGGGGACUAAGUAAUCAGUAUCUGUCCCAUACAAGAGAGAGAAUUAUGUACUCUCCCGCAGGCUGCCCUUUUUGCAGUAAGCUGUACAAAAGCGUCUCCAUUUGCUCUUUAAACACUGCCUGCUUACCUGCAGUUCUGCUUCUAGGCCCAGGCGUCGAAUGAAUGGAUCGGUGACAUGAUAGUGUCGUUCGAAGCCCAGCGCACCCCUCUCCUGUGUGAACAAACAAGCACCACACUGACUAGAGCAAACAAAACACUCCUUUUUCCCUUUAAGAGAAGAUUCAAGAACUUUAAAAAUCAAGCGGGGACCUUGCCAGGUAUUGGGGUGUCCAUAGCAUCAGGUACCUGUCCUGCAGUAGGGGGACACCUUUUGCAUCAUCUCCAGGUAGGCUGUUUGUAAUCCUUGCCCCUGAAUUGGUUUAAAAUUAAGUGUAUCUAAUCACCAGGCUCCAGCUAGGCAGCUGAGACAGGGUUUGAGAGGCCCACACUAAGACAGAAUAAGUUGCCUACUUUGGACCACAAACAGAAGAUAGAGAAUAGCUUGGAAACGCCUGUUAUCCCUUGGCAAGGGUUUCAGUAGCAACUCACUCCUGAGGACUGCAGUACUAGACCACAGCUGCUCAGAAGUCUGCCAUUACACAGAAUCGGUUGGACUUGAUGAUCUUAGAGAUCUUCUCCAACUUUAAUGAUUCUAUAAAAUCAUCAAGUCCAACCGCCAACCCAACACCCCCAGGCCUCCUAAACCAUGUCCUGAAGUACCACAUCUGCUUGUAUUUUUAACACCCCCAGGGACGGUGACUCCCCCACCUCUCUGGGCAGCCUGUGCCAGGGCCUGACCACUCUUGCAGUGAAGAUGCUUUUCCUAAUCUCCAAUCUAAACCUCCCUUGGUGCAACUUGAGGCCAUUUCCUCUCACCCUAUCACUUGUUACUUGGGAGCAGACACCAACCCCCUCACUACAGCCUCCUUUCAGGCAGUUGCAGAGAGUGAGAAGGUCUCCCCUCAGCCUCCUCUUCUCCAGGCUAAACAACCCCAGUUCCCUGUGAAUCUGCCCUGAAGCACCACAACCAAGGGGCAAAGUAUUGGGGAAGGCAACUGGACAGCAUCCUUUAGAGAUGGCUUACUUCAUCAGAAUUGGAGUAGGAGCGUGUAGCUGCAGUACCACAGCACAGCCUGUUCUACAGGGAAGAGAACAGCUGCCACAGAACUGCGUCAGUACAAAUGAAGGUGAAGAAAAGCAGGACAGUUGUUUCCCCUGUGAUCUCACAGAGUUCACAGAUGUAUUAGCAGAUGGCUUUGAUGAAAGAAGGCCAACUGCAGAGGCAGACAUGAAGAAAAAGGAAUGCAAGUCGUAUUUUGGAUGGAACAUCUAAUGUCCGAGGAGAUCCCUUUCUAGGACCUGAUCCAGCCUCGGACCUGUCCCAUGCCAUGCUAUAGUCAGGCAAAGACAACUUAAGCCUUCAUUAUCACCAUUUAUAGAUGAGAACAGCAACAUCAAAAAUUACACUUAUGGUACUAGGAACAUGUUACUAGUCACAGAGCAGACACAAAGGACUAGUGUACUACGUUACAGCUCUGCAGACCAAUAUUAGGUAAUGAACUCUACACAACAAAAGCUAUUUGAAAACAAAAUGGAGACAGAUACAAGGGGAUUGGAGGAAAACCAAAUCAAACCAGGCUUUUUGUAGUAACUUUCAUUACAAACUUCAAACCCUUGACAUAUUUUUACAAACAGUAUUCCCAAAACGCUGCUAGGCCCAGUGCAAGGUGCUGCAGUUAUAAUUGCCUUGCUAUCGCAACCUCAGUGGCUUUGUGAGGUCUGUGCAGUAGGAUAUUGCAUUUCCUACAAGGAACUGUCAGACUUAGCAACCUUCCCAAGGUCACACAUGAAAGUCUAACAGAGCAGACAGUGUGAAAAAGUCUCAGGCUAACGCUCUAACCACAGAACCAUCUCUUCCUUGUUAGAGCAGCAAAAUAAAUCCUUGCACGUGGAUCAAAUCACAACCUUAUAAUACAAAGUUUAGUACCAAACUGCAAAGCAAAGUGAGCAUUCAAGCCCCUAGCUCCUUAUGCUGGCCACUAACAGACCACUUUUGUGACUGCUGAUUACCAGCAAAGCUGCAAAUGAUUUAAGGCCUCUGAGCUCAAGUAAUAAUUGCCUAUUGUGUCUGCUGUAGCUAGUCCUUUCACGUUAAGAGAUAUUUCACAAAUGCAGCCAUCAGAUGACUGAUUCAACCACCACAGAAGUUCUUCCCUACACAAAGGAAGCAAGACACCACUCUUUAAAGAAAAAGAGACAGAGAUCAUUAGCUUUACUACAGUCAGAAAAUACCUUUGAUGGCAAGAUCACACGAAGAGACCACAUAAAGCAGCAGACAGAAAACCCAUGAGGGAAGCUAGCUAAGGGUCCUUUAUGGUGCCCAAACACAAGUAGGCAGAUCUCUCUCUUCAACAUUGUACUCAAAAGCAACAGACCUGGUGAUGUCAAACUAGCAUGGUGCGCUCCUGCUAGGGAGGAGAGCUGUAUUCCUGUUAUGCCAUACUUCAGCCCAGCUCUUUGUUAAGGACAGCAAAAGGUCCUAUGUGUCUGUUCUCUUAAGCUUCUUACACAGCUUAUCAAUACGUAAGUAGCAGAGAUCUUUUCAGACGUAAAGGCAACAACAUGAGUAUUUCCCCAUCCAGAGUGAAUGCUGAUUCUCCACCUGCCCCCCACCCAACACAAGUGAACACUUGGCUAACGUACCUUGAUCUGUCUGUGGAUGAUGUCUCUGGUAAUGUUUGCUUUUGCCAUCUUCUUGCAAUGAGGCAAACGAAAAGAAACUAUCGGAAGAGCUGCUGUGCAUCCAAGCAUGCCAACAGAGCAAAGAUCCACACCAAGGGCAUUUAAUUACCUGCAGGACAGAACAGGGAGGGAACAAAGGCAGGCAUACAAACAUAUUAGGCCAUUCAUAUGCAAUGUCAAGUACUUUAUUGUCAAAAAAUAGCGGUGGCUAAGGACUAAAACAUUUUGUAUAAAGGCUCCUUGAAGAAACCCAAGGAUGGGAAGGAACAAUGUAAGACUGAAGAACACCUCACUUAAGAGGCCAUCGCCAGUUUGCACAGUAAUUCAAGACGAACAGAACUCCUGGACUAAAUCAGCCUAGAAAAGCCAUGUUUGGACCCUCAAAAGACCCUCAAAUCCAGGGUAAGCAGCCUGUUUCACAGCUUGCCUCCCACCGCUACAUGUCCACUCACACCCCGUUCCAUUUUUCCCAAACUCGACAACCAACAAAACUUAUUAUAUUGUGAAUAAACAAGGCAUCGACA